Molecule: non-coding RNA, 26 nt
Filed under: Rattus norvegicus (Norway rat)
Lineage: Eukaryota; Metazoa; Chordata; Mammalia; Rodentia; Muridae
Source: RNAcentral
UGUGAUGAUCGAAAUCUGCCCACAGA